CGGAUCAGAAUGCCGCGGUGAAUACGUUCCCGGGUCUUGUACACACCGCCCGUCACACCAUGGGAGUCGGAAAUGCCCGAAGCCGGUGGCCUAACCGAUAAGGGAGGAGCCGUCGAAGGCAGGUCUGAUGACUGGGGUGAAGUCGUAACAAGGUAGC
RNAcentral lists this ribosomal RNA (157 nucleotides) under uncultured bacterium. RNAcentral describes it as "partial 16S ribosomal RNA". It matches the Rfam family "Bacterial small subunit ribosomal RNA", at positions 1345 to 1500 of the family's 1533-position model. The record is from RNAcentral.